AUAGAUAGGCCCUCCGAUGGCUGCUUGCCGGAGCGGCUAUUAAACCGCCUUGCGCUGCAUUUAGGUAAAACGUUGAUGUGGUGACCGGUAAGGAAAACCGGGGACAUUGAUCCCCAUAGGU
This is a non-coding RNA of Cyclobacterium lianum, 121 nucleotides long. Lineage: Bacteria; Pseudomonadati; Bacteroidota; Cytophagia; Cytophagales; Cyclobacteriaceae. The record is from Rfam.